This 481-nucleotide ribosomal RNA is filed under the name uncultured Glomus. Its description in RNAcentral is "SSU rRNA". It matches the Rfam family "Eukaryotic small subunit ribosomal RNA", at positions 569 to 1054 of the family's 1831-position model. The record is from RNAcentral. Lineage: Eukaryota; Fungi; Glomeromycota; Glomeromycetes; Glomerales; Glomeraceae.
AGCAGCCGCGGUAAUUCCAGCUCCAAUAGCGUAUAUUAAAGUUGUUGCAGUUAAAAAGCUCGUAGUUGAAUUUCGGGAUCAAUAUAUCGGUCGUGCCAUCGGUACGUACUGGUAUCAUUGGUUUCUCCUUUCUGACGAACCAUGAUGUCAUUAAUUUGGUGUCAUGGGAAGUUAGGACUGUUACUUUGAAAAAAUUAGAGUGUUUAAAGCAGGCUUUAGCUUGAAUACAUUAGCAUGGAAUAAUGAAAUAGGACGUUCGAACCUAUUUUGUUGGUUUCUAGGAUCAACGUAAUGAUUAAUAGGGAUAGUUGGGGGCAUUAGUAUUCAAUUGUCAGAGGUGAAAUUCUUGGAUUUAUUGAAGACUAACUACUGCGAAAGCAUUUGCCAAGGAUGUUUUCAUUAAUCAAGAACGAAAGUUAGGGGAUCGAAGACGAUCAGAUACCGUCGUAGUCUUAACCAUAAACUAUGCCGACUAGGGAUC